This is a long non-coding RNA of Mercenaria mercenaria, 323 nucleotides long. RefSeq lists it as uncharacterized. Lineage: Eukaryota; Metazoa; Mollusca; Bivalvia; Venerida; Veneridae. The transcript has 4 exons. The record is from RefSeq and is a predicted model, not a curated record.
GAGUUAAAAAGGCUUAAAGAGAACCAAAAGGAAGAGCAAGCCAGCACAGUGUUAACUAAGAAGAGGAAGCUGACAGAAGAUAUUGCUAUUGUAAAUGACACCAGUGCUGUAUCGUUUAGUGUUGGUGACAGUGUGUCUGCCCUGUGGGUUGAUAAGAAUUGGGAAGAGUGGAAUGAUGCCAAGGUUGAAAAGAUCUACACAAAUGGUGAUUACCUUGUCAGGUACUGGGACAAUGUCAAACAGAGAGUGAAAGCUUCCAGAGUGAAAGUGCUCAACACUAAAGACUAAUAUGUUUUGUGCUAAAAGUUUCAUUGUGUAGUUAU